CGCGGGGUGGAGCAGCCCGGUAGCUCGUCAGGCUCAUAACCUGAAGGUCGUCAGUUCAAAUCUGACCCCCGCAACCA
This 77-nucleotide transfer RNA is filed under the name Antarctobacter heliothermus. RNAcentral describes it as "tRNA_Met_CAT". It matches the Rfam family "tRNA". Rfam says of the family: Transfer RNA (tRNA) molecules are approximately 80 nucleotides in length. Their secondary structure includes four short double-helical elements and three loops (D, anti-codon, and T loops). Further hydrogen bonds mediate the characteristic L-shaped molecular structure. tRNAs have two regions of fundamental functional importance: the anti-codon, which is responsible for specific mRNA codon recognition, and the 3' end, to which the tRNAs corresponding amino acid is attached (by aminoacyl-tRNA synthetases). tRNAs cope with the degeneracy of the genetic code in two manners: having more than one tRNA (with a specific anti-codon) for a particular amino acid; and 'wobble' base-pairing, i.e. permitting non-standard base-pairing at the 3rd anti-codon position. RNAcentral also lists the same sequence under 2 other names. Lineage: Bacteria; Pseudomonadati; Pseudomonadota; Alphaproteobacteria; Rhodobacterales; Roseobacteraceae. The record is from RNAcentral.